RNAcentral lists this ribosomal RNA (783 nucleotides) under uncultured archaeon. Its description in RNAcentral is "bacterial SSU rRNA". It matches the Rfam family "Archaeal small subunit ribosomal RNA", at positions 110 to 879 of the family's 1478-position model. The record is from RNAcentral.
AAUUGUUCAGGAGGAGAGCUAUUGUGUUAACUGGGGCUAAUCCCCAAUAGAUAUGGAGGCCUGGAAUGGUUCCAUAUUCAAAUGCAUAACAACCAUGUUUGUUAUGUGCCAAAGGAUGGGGCUGCGGCUGAUCAGGCAGUUGGUGAGGUAACGGCUCACCAAACCUUUGACCAGUACGGGCCGUGAAAGCGGUAGCCCGGAGAUGGGUACUGAGACAAGGACCCAGGCCCUACGGGGCGCAGCAGGCGCGAAAACUCCACAAUGUACGCAAGUACGAUGGGGUUACCUUGAGUGCAGUCUGAAAAAGGUUGCUUUUCCAUAGAGUAAUAUCCUAUGGGAAUAAGAGGGGGGCAAGACUGGUGUCAGCCGCCGCGGUAACACCAGCCCCUCGAGUGGUGGGGACUUUUAUUUGGCCUAAAGCGUCCGUAGCUGGCUGUUUCCGUCCCCCGUUAAAUCCAGCGUCUCAAGCGUUGGACUGCGGGUGAUACCAAACAGCUAGAGGGUGGGAGAGGUCAGCGGUAUUUCUGGGGUAGGGGCGAAAUCCUUUGAUCCCAGGAGGACCACCAGUGGCGAAGGCUGCUGACUAGAACACGCCUGACGGUCAGGGACGAAAGCUGGGGCAGCGAACCGGAUUAGAUACCCGGGUAGUCCCAGCUGUAAACGAUGCUCGCUAGGUGUUGGGUCGGCCAUGCGCCGCCCCAGUGCCGCAGGGAAGCCGUUAAGCGAGCCGCCUGGGGAGUACGGUCGCAAGACUGAAACUUAAAGGAAUUGGCGGGGGAGCAC